This 425-nucleotide ribosomal RNA is filed under the name uncultured bacterium. RNAcentral's name for it is "partial 16S ribosomal RNA". It matches the Rfam family "Bacterial small subunit ribosomal RNA", at positions 354 to 796 of the family's 1533-position model. The record is from RNAcentral.
GUGGGGAAUAUUGGACAAUGGGGGCUACCCUGAUCCAGCCAUGCCGCGUGAGUGAUGACGGCCUUCGGGUUGUAAAGCUCUUUUACAUGGGAAGAUAAUGACGGUACCAUGAGAAUAAGCACCGGCAAACUUCGUGCCAGCAGCCGCGGUAAUACGAAGGGUGCAAGCGUUGUUCGGAAUUACUGGGUGUAAAGGGCGUGUAGGCGGAUUAGUUAGUUAGUGGUGAAAUCCUUGGGCUCAACCUGAGAACUGCCAUUGAUACAGCUAGUCUGGAGUAUUAGAGAGGAUGACGGAAUAUCCAGUGUAGAGGUGAAAUUCGUAGAUAUUGGAUAGAACACCGGUGGCGAAGGCGGUCAUCUGGCUAAUUACUGACGCUGAGGCGCGAGAGCGUGGGGAGCAAACAGGAUUAGAAACCCUGGUAGUCC